This is a long non-coding RNA of Cyprinus carpio carpio, 414 nucleotides long. The record is from Ensembl. Lineage: Eukaryota; Metazoa; Chordata; Actinopteri; Cypriniformes; Cyprinidae.
GUCGAAUCUGGUUCGGGUCAAUAUUACCAGGGAUCAGUAACACUGUCUUGGGACUUCAUUACAGCCCCAUAACCGAUCCUAUUGGACUAUCAGUGUCUGAUCUAUCUCUAUUCUCAUGGUUUCAGCGAUGACUCAUGAUCUGCUUGCAAACUAUCUUUAUUUACUGUAAGCCAAGGGUCUGAUUGAAGACGUCCUGACCCAGAUUUAGCCACAGGUCUCCCAUAAUGUGCUACCGACUCACACAGACCCAUCGUGUCCCUACCCUGAUGAGAGCGCCCUCGCCGGGACCAUACCGUAUUCAUAAAGGGACAAAAGCUAGGGACCUGGCAUUCAAAACGGGAAAUCGAGACGUCUUAAGAUGACCUUGUUUCAGAAUCAAAAACUUAUUGACUUGAGGCAGACGGAACCGGAAGU